CCGGAUGUGAGGCUGGCCAGAAUGACCGGCGGCUGCUCGGCACCCGGGACCCCUCGGCAGUGUCUUGUCUCAGCGUUUGGCGUCUUGGGGCUCCGGACCGCUUGACGGUGGGACCCCAGCAAGGUGCUUGGCGUCUCUGAGCCUCAUCUUUCGCUUCUGUAGAAUGGAAUAUGACCCAUUGCACCCUCACGGGAUUACCAGACGCAGAGCAUCCGUGGGUCCCGUGAGGUAAAAACGUUGUCAUCCUCGCUUUCCACGCGGGAAAACAUGGCACGGCAAAGCGAGAGACACCCCCCCCCUUCCCUGGUGACGCUUUUUGCCCGCGGACCUCCAGGGACAGAGGUGAGGCGAAGGAAAUUGGCCCUAGGCUUAUUCCCUAGGGCGGAGGAGAGAAUGUCACCGCCUCGCAGAGCCGCUGUGAGGCUCACGUGUCCUCAGUCUCAGGAUCACUUGAUGCUCCUAGCAGUGAUUGAGGGGCCAGAGGCUUUUGCUGAUAUGGGUUAUAGUUAAAUUAAAACAAGAAGUUUGACCGGCGUGGUCGCGCACGCCUCUAGUUCCAUUGACUUGGGAAGGUGCCGCAGGAGGAUCCCAAGUUCGAGGACAGCCUACGCAACUUAGUGACCCUGUCUCAAAAGGGGGAAAAUGUAAUACGUGGUAAAGCGCCCCUGGGUUAAUUCCCCAGUACUCCCCUCAAAUGUUUAGCCGUAUUUUUUAAUUUAAAAACGAACAUAUUAUAUGUAAUUAGUAGAUAAAUUUCAUAUCCCGAAAAUAAAGAAGAGUGAUGGUGUUUUACAUUUUUUGCAACUCUUUUUAAAGCUUAGUGGAUAGUAACGGGAUUCUCAGAUCUGCAUUAGGUUUGCUGCAAUGUUAAAGGUUGCUUUGGUUGACGUAUAUGAAGAAAAUCGA
RNAcentral lists this long non-coding RNA (906 nucleotides) under Marmota monax (woodchuck). The record is from RNAcentral. Lineage: Eukaryota; Metazoa; Chordata; Mammalia; Rodentia; Sciuridae.